UCGAAGAACAAAAAGUCCAUCUUGCAGCCUUCAUUUUAAACGGUGAAGCUGAAAAUUGAUGGUGACUUAAGAAAGAAGUCCUGUCUACCCCUAUUACCUAGGAAGUUUUCAUGGAUGCUUUCUUAAUAAUUUCUUCUUUGUUUAUGUUCGGGAAAAGAAAGAGGAGGAAUUUUAAGACCUCUGUAAAAGAAGCUUGUCUGUAG
This 203-nucleotide long non-coding RNA is filed under the name Carica papaya (papaya). Its description in RNAcentral is "long non-coding RNA (CPAP_LNC008216)". The record is from RNAcentral. Lineage: Eukaryota; Viridiplantae; Streptophyta; Magnoliopsida; Brassicales; Caricaceae.